Acanthosepion pharaonis is the source of this 114-nucleotide non-coding RNA. Lineage: Eukaryota; Metazoa; Mollusca; Cephalopoda; Sepiida; Sepiidae. The record is from the annotation of a GenBank genome assembly.
UUACGUUCAUAUCACGUUGAAACACCGUUCCCAGUUCGAUUUCCGAAGUUAAGCAACGUCGAGCCUGGUCAGUACCUGAGUGGGUGACCGCUUGGGAAUGCCAGGUGCUGUAAG